RNAcentral lists this microRNA (21 nucleotides) under Heligmosomoides polygyrus. Its description in RNAcentral is "hpo-miR-10043b-3p". The record is from miRBase by way of RNAcentral. Lineage: Eukaryota; Metazoa; Nematoda; Chromadorea; Rhabditida; Heligmosomidae.
CAAGGACCCUUCAUGAUAAGC